UCGAAAUAUCUAAGGCUGUAAUGAGGCAAAAACAAGUCUUCUCUACCGGAUGAUAUGGCAUACAGAGCAUUUACAUACUCACAUCUGAAAAACUAGGCAACGUGUAAUGAAUUCUAUACACAGCAUGCACACACAGCACAAGCACGGCUAAUCCUGACUGCCAUCUUAGGCUCGCAGAAGCAAGAUACGCAAUGCAUGCAGCACACGAGCACUAGGGAAGGAGGAGGCAAGGGACAGCUCACCUUAAAUGCAGUAUCUGAUUAAUGUUGUAAGUGACAUUGAAUAUCAGCCUCAGAGUCUUGGUUCAACUGGGUAGGAGGGAACAAAGAAAAAUGUCAUCAACUGGUGAUGCAAGAUGAGCCCAAUCACUAAACACUGCUUAGCAAACUCCAAAUUCUGCAACCAGACAGUAGAAGGCAUUUCAUACACUUGAGCAGAGCUGCUGCACAAUGAAUGUGUCCUCCUGCUUCUGUGAUUCAGUCCUUUUGCUAAGGAAGAAAAUAAGCUGAAGUGAGCACUGUCAUAUCUUCUUCUUGAAGAAAGCUUUCAAUACACCGCCGCCAGUCCUCCUCCCCCGCACAGCUCUAUCAUACUGAUUGAUUGAUUGAUAGUAGUAACUGGGAAUUGAACUCAGGAUCUUGCACAUGUGAGCAAAUAUUCUCAGACUCAACUCAGGAACAAAUUUAUUUGCUGUCUCUAAAUUAUUUUGUGACUGAGAAGAGCUAUAACCCUGCACCUCUUCUCAGCAUGAGCAGCUUAACAAGCUUCUGUGCAUCUUCAUUUCCUUUGGACUAAACAGAAAAGCACGGUAAGUUUUUGCCAUGUUGAAUUAUCUACUCUUGCUCCCUGGCAGAUCUUUGUGGGGUUACCCAUGGUGCUGGAGCUUUGCCUCACGCAGUGGGAUGGUUCAUUAGGGCCUACUCUCAACUCCCACCACCAGUCAUGGCAGUUCUUUCUCUACUUCUAUCACCAUCAAUAGUAUCUUCAGCUUUGAGUCAUGAAGGCACGUCCUAAAAAGGGGGGAAUUUGAUUUGUGAGUUAAGGGAUGACUCUGGGGGCCCAUCACUGAUUUACUAAGGGGAGUCACAGUGGAUUGGCAAGUGCAUCACAGUGCUUUGUGUAAACCUGUCCUUCCUGGAAUGAGGGAAGGGGCGAUGGAAAUAAGAGUGGUCUGAUAACACUACUACUGCCUCCCAAAUGUGCUCAACCUUUUCCUGGGUCCUUGACAGCAGAGUGUGUUGCAUAGAGUUAAAGGAUGGGAUGAUGCUUCAGAGAAUGCUAUCUAUGUCCUUUCUUGGGAAGAAUAAAACAGGCUUCAAAGACAGUAAGGGAUAUACUCAAAGACUUCAGUAAUCAGGGUAGAAGCUAUAUUCUUAAAUUUUUGGUAUUCUCUUUAAAAUUCCAUACACUGGCUCAGUUUUUAAAAAAAAUUCUGAACUUUCACUUAGGCACUUAAUUAAUGAUUAUAGAUUGAAUGAAUGUGAAUACAUACCAGCCUACUGGGUUACAAUGUGUUUCCUGUUUUUUUUUUUAUCGGUACCAGGGAUCAAACUUAUGACCACCUGCUUGCAAGGCAGGUGCUUAUACCACUGAGCUAAAUCCCCAGCCCCGUGUUUCCUAAUUCUGCUAAGAAUAAAAUACUCUAGUACACGUAUUUUUUUUUAAAAGAGCUCUACUAAAAAUAAUUUUAAGUAAAAUAGUAAAUAUUGGUCCAAAACCACCUGGGACCAGUGUAACUUAAGAAGUUUCAGAGAACCAGGUUUGCUUACUAUAUUAAGUCUGUCAGACUAAGUUUAGCUAGCCAACAUUGCCUGUAUUCUGUUUGGUUUGCAAAGAAACAUCUCAUGAGUUAGCAUGAACAGCUAAAAAUAAGUUGCAAGUUUCAUUUUCCACUGUUCAGAAUGGUUUUGAAACCAAAAGGUGCAAAACUAAGAGAUUCACCAACACCUAUGAAAACUCAACAAUUUAGCUUCUCAUCUUUCUAACACACUGUACUGAUGGGCCAGCUCACUUCUGGGCCCUGGAAAUGAUCUCUGUCCCUCUCACCACUGUCUCUUAAAAUGAGUUUCCCAAAUAAGGCUUGGCAGGAAAUUGGGGGCUGAGGCCGGUUCUGGGUGGGAAAGUAGUGUGUGACUGUAUUGUCACAUCCGGACAGGAUGCCACAGAACUUCAGCCCCUCUCCUAGGUGAUGCUGGGGACCCCUUUGCAGCAAGUGGAGUAAUAUUUUCAUUAAGACAGGGCUCUGGAGACGUUGAGUGCUAUGAGUCUCCAUUGACCAAAAUGCCUAUGGCCUUGUACAAUUUCAUUCCGCAACCUAGGCAGUUCACAAUAAACAUCAAAACCAAAUUUCCAGGGCUGUGUCUGGUAAGAAGGUAUUUGACAGAGGUGCAAAUGCCUCAAAGGAAAGGCAGCCAUUUCCGCAGCAUUCAGUUAUGGCUCAUGGCCCAGAGACAGCAAUGCUGUUAAAAGAAAGCUUUCCAAUGAAUGAGAUUGAAAGGGGGCAAAGAAGGGUUAAUCUCCCUCCAUUAAAGGUGGGGCCAUUUGGCAAAGGUGAAGAGAAUAAUCUGUAUGAAGAGCAGAGCAGACAAAGAGCCAUUCUGGAAACGAAAUUACCGUGCAGGGGUAAGAAGGAUGAUUUGUUCUCCAUUUUCACCGUGAGACCAUUUCUUAGAUCUCAGGGUCUUUACCUUGCUUUGAAGUUACAGUUGCUGGGAGGAGAAAGGGGGCAUGUUCACACUCAGUGCUACAGUGCCCGAGCUGUGAUUCACUUGGAAUGAGCUGUCUUGGAACAGCGGAGGGUGAGGCAAAGUCACCAGGAUGCUGUAGAAGCCUAACCACAAAUUAGAAGGCAGCAAAGUAAACAGUAGGAGCUGCUUCCCUGGGGGUGGGGAACACUCACCAUUUUUUAAAUACUUAUUUUUAAAAUGCUUUGAAAUGUUUGAAAUGUUUGCUUUUAAUAGUAUUUUUAUAAAAUAGAUUUAUAAGAAGUAGCAAAAAUAGUAUAAUCAGUAAAGUAUAUAAUGUAUCCACUUUUUCUCAAUGAUGUCAUACAAACUUAGUUCACUGCUUAAACCAAGUAGUGGACAGUAAUACAAUUAUGAGCUUUGGUACUGGUCUUCUCUGAUUUCAGCAGUUUUUAUAGGCACUCUGUGUGUUUCUCUACAGUCUACAAUAUGUUCUUACACCUACAAGUUGGAGAUGCAUGAGCACAGUCAGAAUACAAAACCAUGACAUAGGACAAAUUCUUGUGUCCACCCCCCCCCUUUUUUUUGCAGUACCAGGAAUCGAACUUGACCUCGCACUUGCCAGGCAGGCGCUCACACCACUGAGCUAAAUCCCUGGCCCUUGUGCCACCCCUUUAAGGUUACCCCUUUCCACAGACCUUGGAAGUUGCCAACCUGUUCUCUAUCACUGUAUUUUGGUCACUUUGAAAAUAUCCUAUACAGCAUGAACUCUUUGACCUUUUCAUUCACCCAGUAUAAUGCCAUUGUGAGUUCUUCCAGUUAGUAUUCCAGGUAUGGAUAUAACCAAAGCUUUUUAUCCAUUCACCUACUGAAGGACCUCUGGCUAGGUUUCCAGUUUUUAGAUGUUUCAAACAAAGCUGCUAUGAGCAUUCAUGUGCAGGCUAUUAUGUGAACAUAAAUUUGCAUAAAUACCCAUGAGUGAGGUUGCUGGACGGUGUGGUAAGAACAAGUUUGACUUUAUAAGAAACUGUCACACUGUUUAAAAGAGUGGCUGUAGCAUUUUACAUUCCCAUGAGUAAUACAAGAGAGACACAGGUUAUUUUUUUAACAUCUUAAUCUGCAUUCAGUAGCAGUCUUAUUUUUAAUUUUAUCCAAUCUAACACACGUGUAGUGGUCUCCUUUUGAUGGCUCACAGUUAAGAUGGCAGUAAAGUGUGGGAUUUGCAGGUCCUGAGUAGGGUGGCCCAGAUAUAUGUCACUGUUUCAUCUUCUCUGAUAGUUGUCUAGACAGUGGUCUAGUGGUCUGGCAUUCAGAGAAUAGGAAAUGGAGUGGUCUCUCUGGAUGUGGGGUGAAUCUGCAGGUUUGCCCAGUUAGUUAGUUGUUCCUGACUGUAGCAGUGGGUGGUCAUCACCAUCCUGGUACACUGCGCCUCUGAGGCAAUGCCUGUUGGCCAAACAGGCAGACUUGAUAUGUGGCAUAUACUUCCACAGGGUAGGGAGAUGAUAUGAAACCACAGAGAGGGACAGAAUUUGCCUGGGCCUGGGCUCUCCUGCUGCUUUGGUAAGACAAUAUAUAAAGACUUUUACUCCAAUGGUAGUCAUUAGUUUAGUGUGAGAAGAGGUGGCACAUGGAGUCAACAGAGACAGAUAAGGGUGGCACUAUCAGUGGCAUUUACCAAAUCAUAGGACCACCAAACACAUUUUGCCCUUGAACUUCCUGCUCUGUGCCCACCCAAGAUUUUCCAGCAGGAUAUAAACACCUUGGCUGGAUGUCACGGAACUCAUUUCUAUCUCCUGUUAGAUCUAGAGGCACGGCUGUUAACCACCGUAUAGAUUUCCUGGCUCAGAGAUGCAGGUCUCAUGAACAUUCAGAGCUUCAAAGGUGCCUCAGCCAUGGAAGUUGAGCAGGAUGACAGGGACAUGAGCCUUGCAUAAGGCAAACAUAGAUCACUCUAAUUGUCCCAGCCAUUCUUGGAAAGUUACUCUCAUCAGUUGUAACUCUGAUUCAAUGGACAUUAUAGAGGAGGCCAGAAUCUAUGUUCAUCAUGACCCUGAGUCCACAAGUUUGGGCCAUGAGACUAAGCAUCAGGAUAGUAGUCAUCCUGUGUGGGAGCAGUUAUGAGAUUAUGCAGGCGUGCACAGAGGCAAGUCCCCUGAUGUCUAAGGAGGAGAACCGGGAUAGUUGAGAUACUUCCUGGGUUCUGGCUCUAGUGCUUCACCAACUAUCACCACAGAAGACUGACAUGGACUUGGGCAGCAGAAAACUUCCAGAACUGGGAUGUAAAAUGGGCACCAUAGGAGAGCCCAGCAUUCCAAGGAGGUGAACCUUGAAAGUCAAACGACUCAAUGGUGGCCUUCCAACAGCUGACCAGUGAGUGAGAGGAAGCACAAGCAGUCAAAUAACAUGAGGUGAUGGUAGGUGUGGCCUGAUGGCUUCGGCUGUGUUGUACAGGUAGGAGGGAGAAAUAAACUUCCUCUCAAAAGGAGAGAAUUUUUAAGAUUUUGUUGUUGGCUCACUAGCUUUUCUGCUAUGAUUAUUUUCCAUUAUUUUCUAAAUAUCCAUUUUCAGAUCCUGCUGUCUGACCCUUUGCUCUUGUUCUUACUUCUUCCCAGUCGGAAGGCAGCCCAGCUGCAGGUCUUUUCAGAUUUAAAAGGGUCAGCUGCUGGUAUGGUAGUGCAUACCUAUAAUCUCAGCACUAAGGGAGGAUGAUGCAGGAGGAUCACCAGAUUGAGUCCCACCUGAACAACUUAAUGAGCCUUUACCUCAAAAAAAAAAAAAAAAAGAAACAAACAAACAAAAGAAAAAAAGUCGGUAUGAAAGCACUGGAUUCACUCCUCAGUCACACACACACACACACACACUCGUGAAGCCAUUAUAGCACCAUUGUAGCUUUUACUUGGUCUUAUUUUUAACUCUACCUGCCUUCAUAUGUGAGAUUCUCUCACGUAUUUCAGUCUGGCUUUGCCCUGAUCCCACUCUGCUGUUGUGUUCUGCCUGUGGCCCCAAGUCCUGCUCGGUUCUUGUGGAUGAAUCGUGUGGAUGCUCUCUGCAUAGCUGCCUUGCCCUGCUGCACUGAGCUUCAGUGCCAUGUUCUGGCACACAGUGAUCUGGCCACACUGGGUGAUCCCUGUGGGCACCUGGCCCCUUGUGGAAUCUGUGCUGCACACACGUGUUCUAAGACAUGGCCCUGCCAAUCGGAAGGCAGAUACCACUUCCCUGGUUACUUCAGGAGUUUGUCUUCUCAUCGAUUCCUUUUGUUAGCUAACCAGAGAUUGGGUGUCUCUGGGCUUUUGCCUAGUUCAGCCUCUGCAACUAAAUAUCUGGGUGACCACCAGCAAGUAAAUGAACCAUGCUGGCUGGCUUCAGCAACCCUGUAUUUAUAACAAAGUCUCCUGACUUGCUAGCUAGCAAGAUUUUUUGUUUGUUUAUUUUUUUCUGUACUAUGCUAAAGAAAAAUCUAAAAUUCAGAAGCCAAACAGGGGCUUUAAAUUCUGGUUUAGAUAUAUGCUAUGCUAUAUAGCCAUAGUUUGUCCAUUAAAUAGGCUUUUGUGUGAAACACUUGCUGAGGUGAUGGAACCUUUAAGAGGUGGUGCCUAGUGGAAGGCAAUUAGGUCACAGGGCCUGCCCUCAGAAGGGAUUCAGACAGACUGUGUGGGAUAGGAUUAGUUCCUGUGGGAAUGGUUGUUAUAGGAGAGCCUGGUUCCUCCCCUGAAUCCCUGUUUUGUGUGAACUGCAUUUUAUUCUUGCACCUAUGUGCUCUUGUUGCUGUGAUGCAGAUUAUCCUGAGACCCUCACAAGAGUCAUGUAGAUGUUGGCAUGCUUUUGAAAAACUUCCAGCACUGUGGGCUAAUCAAUCUUUUUUUCUGUAUCAAGUUCUCUGCUUCAGGUAUUUUCUUAUUGCAACAACAAUAGCAAAAACAGGUUAAGACAAUAGACAAGCUCAGGGGUUUCUUUUUUCUAAGUAGUGUUUGCCUUAGGAACUAUAAAAACAGGUAAUGACCAUGUGCUCCAAUUUCUAAAAUUUUCCCUUAGAUGUUCACAAAGAUUCAUCUACAAGAAGAUUUACAUAUCUAUUAUAGUGGGCCACUAAAGGCAAUAAAAAUAUAUAUCAAAGAAAGAGUAGAUAGACUAAGUUAUCCAUGCAAUAGAAACAUAACCAUUAAAAAUUACAUUUUUGACCAGGUAUGGUGGAGCAUGCUUAUAAUUCUAGUACUCAGGAAGCUGAGGCAGGAGGAUUACCUAAAAUUUGAGGCCAGGCUGGGUUACAAAGUCAUUUCAAGGCCAGUCUGAAUUCCAUACUGAAACACUGUCUCAGAAAGAUAAAUAAAUAAAUAAAUAAAAUAAAAUUAUGUUUUCAAAGUGUAUUUAGUGAGUAGAAAAAUGUUUAGAGUAUAAUGUUGGCUGGACAUGUAAUUCUAGCACCCAGGAGGCCAAGGCAGGGGCACUGCCAUGAAUUCAAGGCCAGCCUGGGCUAUAUAAGAGAGUUCAAAGCCAGCCUGCACUACAUAGAGAGACUCUGUCUCAAAAAACAAAUGAACAAACAAUCCCCCAAAAACAUAAUGUUGGAGGAUGGCAGACAACCAUGAAAAUAUCAUUUCAGUUUUUGAAAGGAGAAAAAUCCAGGUCUGGUGGUGCAUGCCUAUAAUUACAGCACUCUGAGACACAAAGACAGGAGGAUCACAAGUUCAAGCCCAGUGUAAGCAACUUGGUGAGAUCCUGACUCAAAAUAAAAACUAAAAAAUGAUGAGAGAUAUAGCUAAGCAUGGGUUUAAUCCCUGUGCCACAAAAAGAAAGAAAAAAGAAAGGAAGAAAGGAAGAAAACAAGAAAGAAAGAAAGAAAGAAAGAAAGAAAGAAAGAAAGAAAGAAAGAAAAGGAGGAGAGAGGGAGAAAGGAAGGCAAAGGAAACGAAUACCUAGGGAAACCUGCAAAAAAUACUUCACCAAAAUGCUAAUAUUGAAUUAUGUCUCGGUUGAUGGCUUUCUGGUGAUUCUAAUUUUCCUUUUAAAUUUUAAACUUUUUAACGUUUUUUAUAGUAAUUACCUAUGACUAUUUUUAAAUGAUAAUUUUAAGAAAAGGAGAGAAAGAAAGAUCGUUUCACAUACAAUGAAAGCAAGAAGGAAGAGAUGUCCCUUAAAAAAUCCAGCCCAGUAUACUUAACAAGUUGUUCUUUCUUUUCGAGCACUUUCUUUCCCUUUCAUUAUUACAAUAUCUAUUAUACAUUUUGGAUCUUAUUACUUUCAGUUUUUUGCUAUUAUUAUUAUUUUUUACACUAGAGAGACAAUAUGUUUAAGUGUACAACGCAAAUAACCAUACUACUAAAUUUUUGUUAGUACAUGAAACAGAAUAGUUUGUGCUGUCAUUGUUUGAUUGUCCAUUUUAUGCUUUGAUUUUGUAACUUGAACAACUUCUAAGAUAACAGUAUGUAAUUUAUCAACAGUGAUGAUUUCCUAAUGUUAUUUUUUGAAAUUCUGUAUCAUUUCUACCCUUUUUUCUGUUUUCCUUUUUUUUUUAAUUAAAAAAAAUGGGGAAAAAAAUCCAACCCAGGCAGGAGGAUCACAAUGAAUUUGAAGCUAGCCUGGGAUACAUAGUGAGUCCGAGGUCAGUCUGAACUACAUAGUAAGAUCCUGUCUUCAAAAACCAAACCAAGCCAAACCAAAACAUCCCAGCCCAGAAAUAGCCCAGCUGCCAGCAGAUGACACAGGUAAUAGACAGAUUGAUUCCUAACCCCAGCAUAAAUCCUAAGUUACUUCUUUUACAUAUAUAUAGCUGUAGUUUCUUUUACUUCUUUUACAUCCAUAUAGCUGAUGCCAAGGAAUUUAGGUCAAUGAGAAAGGCACUUUCUCUGGAAGCUACCUCCCUGUAGCUUAGGAUGAUGGGCUGUAGGUUUUGGGAUAUGGAUGGGCAUUCUCCUAUCACACAAAGAAGACUAGAUUCACAGAUGAUGGCUUUCAAACAAAGAUGAGGGAUUCUCUCUGGCGUGGGAGACACAACCAAGGUCAACACCUCCAUCGAGUGUUUCCCAUAUGGUGUUAUCUCAAGGUCCUGGGAGCCCCCUCAAAUUCCUUGAAUCCUCUUUUGGCAGAAAGAUGACUCAUCCAUUCUCCCACAAAGAUUUCAGUGAAUCCCAGGUGGAAGAUCUCUCUGAAUGAGAUUAGAAGCUUCCCACUUAGGCUGAUGGUCUAGAGUCAAAGCUUUCUGAAUGGCAUCAAACCUUUGUACCACAUGCUUUGGGAGGUUAGGAGUGGUGCUAGGGAUCCCAGAUGAAAAGUCAAUUUAGAAAAACAAAAAGUCUUUUUUUCCAAAACACUGAUACUUCAUAACAGUAUUGACCAUAAUUAUUGUAAUUAUUUUCUUCAACACAUUCUCAGAGAGUUUUCUAAGUGGCCCAGACCAUUUUGCAUGUAGGACCUUACUUAUUCUGACAGAAUCUUGGCAUUCUAUUCUUUAAAAACUUCAUUUUGGGGAUAGGAAGAAGCUUUAAAGUUCUGACGAAAACCAGAGUCUUCUUGAAUUAAAAACAAAACCCUAAAGUUUUCAGUGUGGUGUUUUCCAAGUUGGUUCUUGACAAGAAAUUAGGGGAUUUCAGUGUGAGAAAUUACAAAGCCUUAUUACUAUGAAUUCUUAGCUUUGGUGACUAUGACGUGGGUUUAUUGCAAAAUCUUCCGAAGGGAGUAACAGAACAUUUAUAACCCUGACCCAAGGGAAGGGUACUAGCUAGCACUUCUGUGCCCUGACAACUAGAAAACCUCUGGGACUUAAGUGUGCUGCUCUGUGAGGCUGCUGUGUUCAUCCGUGUCUGCUGUGUGUGAGUCUCGCCACUAAGCUCUUCAGAUGACUCAAACUCUGCAAAGACUACAGUUUCCCAAAUUUGAAUUAUAUAACUCAUGAUGCAGUUAAAACUGAAAAGAACCAAUGUAAUAGAAAGUGAAGCAAGCACUAGAAACUCCCCAUGAGACCUAUUUUGAUGCAUUUUUUUUUAAAAGUCAAAAGUAUUUAUAAUUUGAGUAUUUGUACAUGAUCCCAUUUUUCUGGUGUUGUCUGUAAGAACUAACACUGAUGAAUGGUCGUGAGGAUCUGUGACUUUCUUUGAAACAUUAAGUGUUGAUCAUAGUAAAAUUCUGGUUAUUCACUUUGGUAAUCACACAUGCCUCCUUGCCAUACUAUGCAGAUAGAAAUUAGAAAUGAAGAGGUCAACAACACCCACCCCACUCCUAACACCAUUCACAUGUUAGUUUCUGAGUCAUACCAGAUGGGCAGUGAAAUUAAGAAGUGGAGAGAGCCAGUUUCCCAAACGAGCAGACCCUGACAUCUUUCCUCUUUGACUGGCUUUCUGGGCAAACGCUGUUAGCUUAUGACUUCCAGCAAUAGGUCAACCCCAUUUGGCUCCAGCUUUUGAAACCUGGUACUUGUUCUCAUCUUCCUCCUUUGGCUACUUCCUUUUGGCAGGCACUGUUUCCCCACGCAGCCUGGUUUUAUCUUUGGCCUAACCCACCAGCCCAUGCAGCUUCCAGCUCAAUAAAUCAGGAAAAUGGAUUUUCAGAGGCAGAAGUAUUUUUGCAAAAUAUCAACUUGUGGUGGGAGCUCACUCUUCUUCAGUUCAUUCUUGCUGUGGGACUUGAGUGGAGGUUAGGCAGAAUUAGUAGGAGAAAAGGCCCUGUAUCAGGCUGUCAGCAGAGGUCAGAGAGGCUAUCAAACUGGCCAGUAACUGUUCCCACACAAUGGACAAUGCAUUCUCUUCAGAAUGUGGAUGCAAAUGCCAGAAAUGUAAAGUUCAGUGGCAACAUUUAAUCAGAAACUAGAGUGUUUAGCCAGCUAUCAACAACAAAGCUAGGGAGCUAGGUACCAGGCUGCUCAGAUAGACUCCAGACUGUUUUUAUAGAGGCCUUUGAAUUAGGGGCAUCACAAGGCCUCCACUACAGUUUCUGGAAUUUACCAGUGAGGGGAGGACUGUACCAAGAUAAACAAUGUGUAAAAGCCUACACAAAAUAUAAAAUGAGUUAAGAGUUCUCUAAAUAGGAGUUUUACAUUUGUCUCUCAUUAUUUCAGUGGAUAUUUGAAAUUUUCCUAAAAAGAAAAUGAAUUAUAUAUGAAAUCCUUUGCAGUAGCAUUACUAUCUCUAGCUUGAGCUUUUUAAAGUUUUUGUUUUUGUUUUGUUUUUGUUUUCCCUUGAGACAAGGCCUUGCUAUGUAGUUCAGGCUGGCCUUGAACUCUUGGCCAUCCUUUUGCCUCAGUCUCCUGAGUGCUAUGCUCAUAGGCAUGUGCCAUUAUGCCUGGCUUUAAAGUCUACUUUUAAGUAUUUCUUGGACAACUUGGUUUGAAGGUCUCUCCUUGGUCUAGGAUUUUCCCCUUGGCAAUUAAGUGUUCGAAGACCUGGAGCAAAGAUGGAAGGAUAAUCUCCUAAAGCCCGGAGGAACAGAGAGGUCCAUGAGCUUAGGAAAUCAUGAACUUUCUUAUAGAUUACUGCAGCUCAUAGUUGGAGGAACAGAAUUCCACUAAGCAAUCCCAACUAGUAUGUUUAGAUACAGAACAGAACAAGAAGAUUGGAGUGAAAAAUAAACGUAAGAAUGCCCUUCCGGUUUCACUGGCCACUUGCAGCAUGGUGGUACUAGAAGUCUUAGGGUGAGGAUGGCCACAUGAGUUUUGAGAAGUCUUCUUCACUGUUUCUUGCCCACAUGGCCAGAUGUUAGCCUAAGAGCAUCAGUUAGGGAGCAUCUGAUAAUUUUCCAUUUCUCCCACUGUUUCAUUCUGCAACCUUAUUCUCACAUCUCCAAGUUUAUUUAUAUGCUGUGACAGAGAAAAUUACCUCUUCAGUGGAAGCUCACCACUGUAAUCACUGGAAGUGCUGCCCCAUCAGAGACCACAUUCUCAAGACACUUCUAUGAUGCAAUGAAUGGCACAAGUAGGAAUGAAAAUAAGCCCGAUGUUCAGCGAUGAGAUAAAGAAGGCGCAUACACUAGAACCUGGCCCGCUAGGGCAAAAGCGUUCUAGAUGUUUCCUUAACAGAGCUGUAUCUCUCACGAGAUUAAAAGUGGAACCACCCUUUGACAGCACGGGUUUCAGCCUGAGAAUCGCAGCGCCGAGUGCGGGUGUGCUUUGGCCUGGUUCGGUGGAGAGGAGGGCGCUCAGUUCCCCUGCAGGCUGCACCGCCGGGUCUCCCACGCGCUCCCACCCCCACUCCCCGCUCGCUCGGCCCGCCUGCCAGGCCUCAGCUGGCAAGAUGGCGCCCACGGCGAAGGCGCUGAGCGAGGGGCCCGAGGGUGGCCUUCACUUACUCGGAUGAGCAGCUUCUCCGAAGCCCAGACGCUGCCACCCGGCUGGCCUCGGGAGUCACAGCCGCCUUCUUGCUCUGCGUUCUUCACUCUUCGUCGAGAUCAGCUCCACAUAUCUUUCUGAUGAUCUCACUCAUUCUGACUUCUACACUGCAAAGUUGAUCUAUAAGCAGAACCUGCCACGAGGCUUUAAAAGAGACAAAAAAAAAAAAAAAAAAAAAAAAAAGAAGAAAAGGAAAGAAAGGUGUGCUGUGAGGAGGUGGAAACACAGGAGAAAGGCUGUGGCCUCCUUAUUUUGAGAUUCGCUGCAGCUGCGAGUGCCACUCCCCAGCCGGUUUUUCCUGGCUGCAGAGGGAGGCCAGUGGCCGGGCGUGGGUGACGUCAGGGCCAGGCCUGAGUCAUCGCCAGCGGCCGGGCUGCCCUGCCACUCCGAAGGGGACAAAAGGAACCUUUGAUGUCCAGAGGCCCUCCUCUCGGCACACUCGCUGCACUGAACAGCAGGCCAGGAGAACAUUCCUGUCGCCUCCCCACCCCCGCCUCCCUUCCUACUUCCGGAACAGUCCAGACAGACUGAACGAGGCCUCCCCGAAGGACAUCACCCUCCUGCAGGGCACAGGCAUGGCCGCUCUCUGUCAAACAGAGCAGCAGGGAGAGAAGAGGAGGUUUUUCCCUGGGGACCUCUCACUUCCCCUCUGUUUCCCACCGUGUCACUGUGGUAUUCACCUUACCCAGGGAGCCACGGGGUAGCUAAAGAGAUAAGGAAGGUGAACAGCACUCUUAUUACUAUCCCUGGCCAGUACCCAGGGCUCUGUGUCUACUCUCCUCCAUCUUGUGCCAGGGCCUCAGGCCCCAGCUCCCUGUUCUCCGGGAGCCAGUGUGAAUUAGCUCUUCCCGGAUUUAGGAGGUUGCCACUCUUUAAGAGUGAUAUUAAUAUCCCAGUGCCUGGCAUGAGGCUCUGUAUACACAUGAUGAAUGAAUGAUAAUUUUAAAACAAACUAGCAGAGGGCAUAUGUUGCCUUACAUGAAUGUUUAAACCUAUAUGUGGGGGCUGGGGAUUUAGCUCAGCGGCAUAAGCGCCUGCCUUACAAGCAGGCAGUCGUGAGUUCGAUCCCUGGUACUGAUAAAAACGAAAAAGACAAAAAAUAAAUAAAUAAAAUAAACCUA
Molecule: long non-coding RNA, 13118 nt
Organism: Cavia porcellus (domestic guinea pig)
Lineage: Eukaryota; Metazoa; Chordata; Mammalia; Rodentia; Caviidae
Exons: 5
Source: RefSeq, a predicted model, not a curated record